GGUCACAUCACAUUAAAACAUCGGUUCCCAUAUGAUCACCAAGUUAAGCAAUAUUGAACCUGGUCAGUACUUAGAUGUGUAACUGCUUGGGAAUACCCAAUGCUGUAAG
Molecule: non-coding RNA, 109 nt
Organism: Acanthosepion pharaonis
Lineage: Eukaryota; Metazoa; Mollusca; Cephalopoda; Sepiida; Sepiidae
Source: the annotation of a GenBank genome assembly